CGCCAAUCAGUCAAAUCUUUUUGUGGAUAAUAAUGAUUUAGGAUAGAAAGCAGCAUAGGUCUUGACCAAGACAAGUUGGGUUUUAAAGUUUUAAACAAUACAUCCAAAGUUUUUAUGAGAUUUUCGUUGAUGGAAACAUUGUAGAUAAUUAAGGACUUUUAGAAAUAGGGUGCCAAAUUAAUUCUUUAGUAAUUUUUUGUAAUUCUUUUUGAGGGGGCAUGGUUUGGCCUGUGACUUGAAUAGCCACCGUUUGAGUGAGCUCCAGGGACACUAGAUCUAUAUCAUUCAUAAAAGGCCU
Non-coding RNA from Pelobates cultripes (western spadefoot toad), 298 nucleotides. The record is from the annotation of a GenBank genome assembly. Lineage: Eukaryota; Metazoa; Chordata; Amphibia; Anura; Pelobatidae.